GGAACCAGGGAGAAAACCCAGUGAAAGGGCUGAGCUCCCAAUGCCUUCUGGAAACAGGAUAUUUGGCUAGAUCAACUUGGUCUCUGUGAGGGUUUCAUCUCAUUACACAGAUACAUUAAUUACUGUAUAAAGAAGUUUGCAUUGGCAUUUCCAGGGAGCGGUUGCUCAAUCCCGUCUCACAAAUUCUCAUAAAACACAAGAUAAAUGGGGUACUUAGACAUGUUCCUGGGUUAACUGAUGGCUCUUGUAGCAACACGGGGCAUUUUGAAAUGAAAAUUACACUUCAGGAGGCAGAAAGCUUCUGGGCUUUCUAAGGUUUAUUAUUGCCUUGCUUACAGCUGGGAGCUAAACAAGAUGUUUGCUCCGGAAACUACUGAAGCGCAGUGAAAUAUUCACCAGAAGAAAGGUGAUAACACAGCCAGGAGUAAUUACCUUGGUUUAACACUUAAAUCCUUUUUUUUUUUUUUUAGCCUUUUUCCUUAAAACCGGGGCCGGGCCCCUCCCCGCCCUCACGUGUCCCCGCGCCAUCAGCGCGCGCCGCCGGUCACAUGGCGCUUGUUUACCUCGGUCACUGCCGGGGGAGGCGGCUGAGGGACCGACAGACACACCGACCCCGAGCGACACACCGACAGACAGACCGAGCGACACACCGACCCCGAGCGACACACCGACCGCCCCCCGGGGACAGCGGGAGAUUGGCGGCGGGGAAAAGGCCGUACCCCGCAGGGGCGCUGGGAAGGCUUGUCCCCUCUCCGGCGGUCUGAGGUUCACCAUGUCCCUGUCAGCAAGGAGAUGUGGAAGGCCCCCUGUGUUGUCUUUUCUGGAAAAGAAAAAGAGAAAGCAAAGUCUUGAUAGAAGAAGGGGGAAAACAAGGAUUUAUGUGGGAAAUCAUAUUGACCGGUGGCUGACACUUAAGGAGAAAUUGGAUUUCAGAAACGAUGCAGAAGUUGCAGGGUUUUUACUGGACAUGUAUGACAGCUACGACCCAUUGUCAAAAGCUCCGCUCUGUGCCCUCUCUGAGGAUGUGGGAAGGGUCACUGGGAAGGAAGAAAGAGCAUUGUCAGCCAGCACUGCUUUAAUAGCAGCAGAUGGAACGUAUGACAAUCAUGACCAGCUGCCUAAAGAAUCUGGAUUUGGAGAUGUGAGAAUUGUAGCUGUGAAAGAGGAGCGAGAGCUGCCAAGGGACUGCACGUUGACAAGGACAGAUGACACUGAUGUUGCACACCAAAUGAUGUGUUAAACUGUCUAAAAACCGUGCUCAGCGAGGCCAUCCCACCAUGGACUGCUGCUGUCUGUUACUGCAGUGUCUCCAGUAACUGUUGAGAUCAGAGGAGCCUCCAAUAGGGAGACACACAGACCAUAGGACAUUGCAUUGGCAUUGCAUGAUGUGUCCAAACCCCUCGCCAAUAUGGUGAAGUGAACAAGUUGGGGUUCGGAAAGCAAUUCUGUGGCAGAGAAGAAUCCUUGGAAGCUAGGUCAGGAGCACAUAAAUACUGGUGAAGCUGAAAAAUUCAAGUAUAUUCUUCAAAAAAGCAUUUUUCUCUGGCACUGUAAUUUUUGUUUGGAGUGCAGCAGUAACUGAAUUCCUGGGACUGAUUUGGUACAGGGUGAGCAGCAAGAAGAAAAUCAAGCUCUUGCAUAACAAUACAGGGGCAGUUUCUACUCCAUUUUGAUUUUGCUGUGAGGUUGUUGUGAACUGUAAAGAAUUACUGUAAGUUGUGUGAAAUUCCAUGUUGAGUUGAUAGCACAUUAAACUUAAUUACCUAAAGUUUUAUUGUGUUAUGUUAAUGUUAAUAAAGUGUGUAGAGUGGAUUAUUUAUCUGGGGGAGUCUGUACAGAGUUCUCUGAGGGGCAACAAAAAAGGACCAGCCAAAGUGGUCAUGGUAUUGCUAAACUUAGUCAGAAUUUAGUAACUUUCUGUAGGUUUUCUUAACAACUGAGUUCCUUACAUUUUAUUAAAAACUCAAAAGGAUUAAGAUAAAGACAAUAUUCUGGUGUCAGUUGCAGCAUCAAGUGUGCUUCCAUCUGAACGUGUUUCUUGGAAUGCCUCUCUUUAGAGAACAAAUUUAACAUAUCCCAUAUAUUGGAAAGCAUUUGUGCAGUUGAUUGAUGCCCUGAAAAAUGAUGGGUAAAAAUGCUGGACUGCAGAUUGUGUUGUGUUGGAGCCUUUGAAAAAAUGAGUAAUUGAGAUCAGCUACUCUGGUGCUUUUCUGAAAUCUUUGGUGAUUGAAUCAUUUGAUAUCUUCUGCUUUGGCUGUUGAUGGUACAAAAGCUGAUACAUGAGCUGAUACGUGAUGCAUCUUGAUUAUUUUCCGCUGUAACAGAGAUGAAAUAAGCGCAGCAGUUUCAGUAACUGAAGUUCUGCAGAGCUCUGUUGGCAGUUCAGGAUGUUUUGUAGUGUGAGUAAUCCUGGAAAGGUUUUGAGCAGAGAAGCUGACACUGGUACAGUAUUCAGGUUAUUCAGUGUGUGGCUGUCAGAAGCACAGAAACUCCCAGCUUUCUGAUUUUAACAUUUUUGUCUUUAACCACACACUUGCAUAAGCUUUCAGGUCUUGAUCUUAGAGCAUUCAAGCCAGCUGGGCUUUCCCACCAACUUACACUAGAACAGCCUCUCUGUGGGGAGAAAUUCCCCUAAUUAGAUCAUUCUAUUCUGCAUUCAGUUUUUGAAAUGAGCUACUUCACUGGCUGUAAGAAACUGCUGUUGCUCUUAAAUAUUGAUGUGUUUGAAAUAUCCAAAUUCAAUGUUGUUUUAUGAACAAUAGAUUUUUCUCUAAAUGUUGCACAGAUAGAUCUUUAAAAAAAAAGUUGAGAAGGCAGUUGUUUGAGACUUUCUCAAAAUGAAAAUGCCACUUCCUCUGUAUUUGUGUUCUCUCUUUGCUCUGUACCUUUCAGAUUUUUCUGUGACUACCAAACAUUGAUUCAUUUAAAUAACUCAGUUUGACUCAUGGAAGAAGUGUGACUGGUGACACUUAUUCUCAGUGAAGUGUCUUCCAGUGCUCUCAGAUUUUCAAUUGCUGGUGUCAUUACAGUGAGAAGGGAAGAGGACUCUGCCUUCCAUUCCAUUUUCCUCCAAAGUCUUCAAGAUCAGAAGAAUCCACAACUGUUCCAUAUUCUCAGCCAGCUCAGCCUUGUUCUUGUGCCUUUUUAAAUGCAUGCUGCAAAUAUUUAUAUUAUUUAAUUACUUACUGUUAUGCAGGUAGAAUAAUACUGCCUGUACCUGAUUUGCUGAGUUGCACUCACUAUGUAAAUGACUGGUAGAGUGAUUAUUCUUGUUCCUAGUACUGGAAUAUAGUACACUUCUUCCCUUACUAAGGCUUCAAACCUCCCAUUACACUGGCACUUCAUGCUGAAGAAAAAUCAAGAGAAAGCAGACUUCUAAACAUUUCCUUUUGUACUCUUGUAGUGUGACAGAUGAUGUAUUUGGGUUGCUAUAUGAGCAUAUGCUUUUGAAUAUCUGGCUUCUGUAGAGCAGGUUAUUAUCAUUGUUAUUUUCCAGUAAAGUUAGCAGAGUGGUGAAUGGAAAUGAUUCUGAAACAAAAUUCUUUCUUCCAUGGAUACGAUGAGCAGUGGCUCUGCUUUAGUCAACAUGGCCAAAGCUUCCUGCUGCUGUGGGUGUGUGGGAAUGGUGGAAUUUGACUGUGUUCAGAUGUCAGAACUAAACCCUUAAGAAUUACUUACCCUCUUAUUUCAAUGAUACAUUAAAAAUGUACAUUUAGGAGAAUUACUUUAAACAGAAUCAUAAGUUGUGCUGUUGACAAUACUGAAUACUUAGGGCUAAAACCUAUAGUGUUAAAUGAGAUUUUUUUUCUUUAGAGGUUUAUAGUGAAAGGCAAAUAGUAGCUAUAAAACAACCAGAUUUUAGUUUUGUUUUGUAUUUGUAAAGUGGACUUACUGUGCCAGUUGAUUUCCUUAGAACUGUGGAUCCAUCAAAUCUUUUGCAAUGUAUUUACAUACAUAAACUGGGAAACUUCAUCCAAAUAAGAGCUGUUCUGAACUUAAAUUUCAAACCAUUAGUUAAAGAAUUGAAGUUACAAGCACUGGUUUUCAUAGUACUUACUUAAUCUUCCAUUACUUUGCCUUCACGAGAAGCUGUUUUCUAAAAUCACAGUAACUGCAAUUGUGCUCUUAGCUCACAUAAUGUAGUAGCACCUGAAAACUUGUGUGUCUUGCUGGGAAAAGGUAGUCUGGCCUGUAUUGUGAUUUACUUUUGUCUGAAACCCUCUACAAAACAGGAGGGAAAAUUGUUUAAAGUAGCUCUUACAGAUUUCUCGAUGAAAGAAGUUUUGCAGAUUAUCCCAGACCCACUGGAGAGGGCAGUAGAACUGAGGUGAGAUACUGGAAUAGGGUAUUAUUACCUUAGAGAAGCAGUGUUUCAAUGCCUUGUUUUCUUGCCAUUUCAAAUUGCUGUUUAAUUCUCUGGCUCUUUUCUUUUUCUGAAUGCUUACAAGUCUGUAAAGCUUGAUCAGACAGUCAUGAGGAAUACUGCAGCAAGGCACACUGUUUAACUGCGUUAAACACUGUUAGCAGGGAUGCAGGAACCUGGUUUUAUUCUGAACUCUUCAGGCUUAGUAGAUCAUAAUGGGUUUUAUCUUGUGGUAAAAUUGAAAUAUGAAAUAUGACUUUUAUAAGCCAUGAUCAUUUGUCUGAUUUAAUGGUAUGAAAUACUAUCAUCAGUGUGAUGAUGUUUGUUAUUACUUUUGCAAGAGGCUUACGUGUCCUGUGCCUGUUAGCGAGGAGUCUUUGGGCUUCUAAAUCAAGACAGCCCAACCAAGUUUCAGCUGUGUGUCAUAUUAAACAUGUUCUCAUGAGUCACUGCUGAGAAUGCUGAUCAGUGGAUAGCAGGAAGGACAGUGCAUCAAAGGAGGAAUUCCAGAGGUAGGAGAAGAGGAGUUUCAGUUUGAGAUGUGGGUCAGAGAGGAAUGGUGAACCUGAGUGCUGUUUGUGGUUUGAGCCCUGUGCCAGGACAAGCCUGCUUCCUCUCUUUUCCCCUGCCUCAGCAGAAGCGAUGGAUUUCAUUUACAAUUCCAGAGAGAUUCCUCACCACUGCAGCACUCAGAGCCCUGCCAGUGGGGAUUGUGGUUUUACAAUGCUGAGGAUUCAGCAGAUAAACUGGACACUGCUGAGAUCAGGUAGAGCUGAUAAGUGUGAGAAGUUACAUCUUCCCCACCUCCCUUAGGUCACAGAGCAAUACUUCUUUCUGUAGUUCUUGUGCAUAAAUGUGAUGCUGGCAUGUAUUUAAGAAGCCAAAAUCAGUCUGCUCCACUCAGUGCUGUGUGUAAUCAUGCUCUGUGUCCAGUGGAGCUGUAUCCAGAGACUGCCCAGGGUACCUAGAAAUAAAGAGGGCAAGUGUUUGUGUGUGUGUGUACACACACAGCUCCACUCUCCAGUUUAUUUUAUGAAAGCUUAAACUAGCAUGGAUUGAAGAGGACCUUUAAAGGUCAUCUCAUCUACCCUGCUCCAAGCAGGGCUGACUUCAGGUUUGGAUCAGGUUACUCAGAGCCUUGGCCUUCUGAGAACCUGGGUAUUCUAUAGAAUUUUGUAAUGUUCUUUCAUAAAACACAGGAUCCAGAAUGGUUUCAUCUUGCAUUUCUAUUUUCCAUUUUUAUUUUUUACUCUCAUUGUAGUAGUGCUGAUCCAUGGCUUUUAAGAUAUGUGACCUGACAGUAUGGGAACCGUUAAAAUACAUUCAUGGGGGCAACUUAUUGCAGCUACAGACAGUUUCUGAUUUGAAUAGCUUUGUCUGUGCUAGGUAACACUGUGCAUGUGGAGAUGUUUUAAGAUGUAUCACAAAGACCUUUCUUUCUCUGGCUUUAAGAGAGGAUAUGGUCUGAAGUGGCUGAAGGCACUGUGCUAAGUAAUCUUUUUUGUGUGGUUACUGCUGGGUGUUUGUAAACAUCUCCUGUCUAUAGUAGCAAAAAUACUUUGGUAAGUAUGUAUGCAGUAAGUAGAGACAGUGAAAAAUCAGAGUCUCUGGUAUGGACAUAUGUUGCUAUUUGACUUAGUUACAUUGGUUCUUUGGCUUCAGUCAGGUUAAGUGACAACCUGCAUAUGCUUUCCUAAAAAAAAUGUUGGGGUUAGAUAUUUUAAAUCUAAUUGAAGAAGUAAUUGUUUUUCAAGAUAGGCUAUUCUUUUGUGAGUGUGUAUUCCUGUUCUUUAUCUCCACAUCUUUGGAAUAUCUGUUAAAUCUCAUCCUUGUUCUUCCUGGUUCUCUACACAAAUUUCUUUCCCCUCCUAUAUGCUCCUUCUUGGUUGGUCAACUUUGGUGCAGAGAUCAGAAGAUAUUUCAGCAGAAGAAUUUCAUCAAUGUUUGUAAGCUUUGUUUAAAUAAUAAUUUCAAAGCACUUUUUGACAUGACCUAUUUUUCAAAUGAACUUGCAGUAAAAGUAAGACAUGAAGUGCUAUCUUCAGUGGCAGAAAAUAAAAUCCCAUUGUAGUAGAUUUUUUUUGAAUUUAAAAAAUCCCUCAUAGGAUAAACUCGACCUGGCUUUGAGUGUGGUACGAUAGUGUUUAGCUUGUGAUUCAGCUGUUGAUCUAGGAUGACUUAAAUUGAAUCUCUACAGAGCAGCUCUGAUAAUUCUUGUGCUGGUUUAAAUCCUAAAUUAGAUAAAAGUACUUGAGGAUAAUAGACUGCAACAUAUUUAAUAUAUCCCAGUGACUUGUCUUUUCUUUUCCAGAAGAGCAGAUGAAAGUACAGGAGGCAGUAGAUAAUUCUCAUAGGUGAAAAUGUUUAUUGUUUGUAACAUCCUGAUUCAGUGUGUUGUAUGGGCUUGCAGAUAUGAGCUUGGGGAAGAUUUGAGCAAAAAUACCUCACCAGGUUGUGCUUUGGUUGGGAACUUUGCUAUAAAUUAAGACAGCUGCAGGUGUGUUUUGUGAACGUGUAGAAAAAAUAACUGUUCCUGUAAUCCUGUAAUUCAUGUAGCUGUUGUCUCUCUAUGUUUAAAAUACUCCUAAACCAGCAUUUUUUAAAAGUCUCAUCAUACGAUAAAAAUUUGCAUAACUUUAUUUCAAGAUUGAUGAAUUACAAAUAAAUAUAGGAAAUGCAGGAAUAAGGUUAUUUU
Long non-coding RNA from Prinia subflava (tawny-flanked prinia), 7058 nucleotides. RefSeq lists it as uncharacterized. The transcript has 8 exons. The record is from RefSeq and is a predicted model, not a curated record. NCBI's taxonomy places the organism in Eukaryota, Metazoa, Chordata, Aves, Passeriformes, Cisticolidae.